This 1109-nucleotide long non-coding RNA is filed under the name Camelus dromedarius (Arabian camel). RNAcentral's name for it is "lncRNA (ENSCDRG00005016536.1)". Lineage: Eukaryota; Metazoa; Chordata; Mammalia; Artiodactyla; Camelidae. The record is from RNAcentral.
UUUCCACUGCAGGUUAUUACAAGGUAUUGAAUGUGGUUCCCUGUGCUGGACAGAAAAAAUUUGUUUUUAACCUGUUUUUAUAUAUAGUGGUACUCAGGAGCCCCCUUUCCUGCUCUGGGUUGUGAUGCCAUUUGGGGCAAAUAAAAAAAAGGAUUUUCUGAACAACAAUGUCAGGUGGCAGGGUGCAGAGACGCCCGUGAGGUUGUGUGCGCAGCAGAUGGGGAGGGCCCCACCCCACCAUCAUCUACAUGGUCACAGAGCAGCAGCCACAACACCCUCGCCACUGCAGACUGGCCCACAGGAGGGACCCGACCCAAGCCAGGGUUUCGUAAAUCGAGCCAAGAGAGCGAUGGCUGGGACACAGAGCUCGGACGCCACAGAGCAGAGUGAGCGCCCGGCUGGUGGCCGUGCCUCCCCAGGCUGCCAGCCAGCGCGCCCUGGCUGGAGUCUGGGAACUCGGGUUUCGGGAGGGCUCCUUCCCACCGUUCCUGGAGCCAAUGACAGGGGCUCACUCUGCCUGAACAGUUGGCCCAAAUCCUGUGGUUUGGGUGCAACACCUGCUUCCCUGCUGGGAGCCUGGGAUUUGGGUUCGGGCCAGGCCAAGGGCACCGCCAGGACCAGCCCCCAGAAAACACCCUGGGCGCCGCAUCUCCCGCAAGCUUCCCAGUGGCCAGCACUCCCCCGCGUCCCCGCCCGGGGAGGACUCUCGGAAGCCCGCACCCGGUCCCCCGUGGGCUCUUCCCUUGCUGAUCCUGCUUUGCAUCCUUCCCCUGGGAUAAAUGUGUGCCCCACUGUGAGCGUGACUCUGGGCCUAGGCUGGGCAUCCUCUGAGCAAUCACUGAACCUGAGACGGAGGUGGUCGGGAGACCCUGAUGCGGCCAGCUGACCAGGAGGCAAGUGGAAGGGACAGAGAAUUUGAGAGCGCGGGAGACGACGGGAUAGUAAGGCUGACGUGACCCCACUGUUCCCUGAGUUCAGAUGCGUCUCAAGGCUCUGCAGCACCCUGUCAGAGGCCCUCGGUUUCUGGGGGACAUUAAAGUCCUUAGGACAGAUUUCUCCUCUUUUUCAGUUGGUUCCAGUUGGGCUGUUGCUUGAGUUCUAGCUCAGAC